UACGAAGGGGGCUAGCGUUGUUCGGAUUUACUGGGCGUAAAGGGCACGUAGGCGGCUCGUUAAGUCGGGGGUGAAAUCCUGGAGCUCAACUCCAGAACUGCCUUCGAUACUGGCGAUCUUGAGUCCGGAAGAGGUGAGUGGAACUCCUAGUGUAGAGGUGGAAUUCGUAGAUAUUAGGAAGAACACCAGUGGCGAAGGCGGCUCACUGGUCCGGUACUGACGCUGAGGUGCGAAAGCGUGGGGAGCGAACAGG
RNAcentral lists this ribosomal RNA (253 nucleotides) under uncultured bacterium. RNAcentral's name for it is "partial 16S ribosomal RNA". It matches the Rfam family "Bacterial small subunit ribosomal RNA", at positions 524 to 776 of the family's 1533-position model. The record is from RNAcentral.